UUUUUUUUUUUUUUAUAUAUAUAAAUAUCUAAUAGGGUCAGUUGAUUUAAUAAGAAUGAGAGUCUUUAUUCUUAAUUAAUCAGGGUUUGAUUUUAUCAUACAUCACUUAAAAUUUAUUUAUUCUAAGUGUAUAAAAUUAAUAUGAAAGAGUGCAUUAUUAAAAUCACUUGAAUAGAUAAUUUAAUCAUGAUAUGUAAAAACUAUCAUGAGAAUUAGGGUAUACAUUAUUCAGUUUUAACCGAAUCAAAUUGAUGAAUUUCGGUUAUUUCGGUAAGAAUAAGUUCGGUUCAGUUUAAUUUUCAAUUAAUAAUAAUAAUAAUUUUUAAUUUUCGAUUUUCAAUGUAGUUACUUUUGAUUUAGCAAUCAAAAU
Molecule: unclassified non-coding RNA, 370 nt
Filed under: Hevea brasiliensis (rubber tree)
Lineage: Eukaryota; Viridiplantae; Streptophyta; Magnoliopsida; Malpighiales; Euphorbiaceae
Source: RNAcentral